This 173-nucleotide small nuclear RNA is filed under the name Peromyscus maniculatus bairdii (prairie deer mouse). Its description in RNAcentral is "U2 spliceosomal RNA (ENSPEMG00000001712.2)". It matches the Rfam family "U2 spliceosomal RNA". From Rfam's summary of the family: U2 is a small nuclear RNA (snRNA) component of the spliceosome (involved in pre-mRNA splicing). The record is from Rfam by way of RNAcentral. Lineage: Eukaryota; Metazoa; Chordata; Mammalia; Rodentia; Cricetidae.
AUCACUUGUCAGCCUUUUGGCUAAGAUGAAGUUUUGUGUCUAUUCCUAAUCAGUUUACUAUCUGACACAUCCUUUAUCUGAGGAAAAUGUAUUAAAUGAGUUUUUUAUAACAAGGAGAUAGAAUAGCUGGCUCUAUCCACUCCAUGCAGGAAUCUAGUAUUAUGGGACCCCUA